ACCCACCCCUGAAGCCUCAAUCAUGAGAAGCAUCCCAGAAUGAGACGUAUUCAGUUGCUCAAUCAAGAAGAAGCUGCCAGGCACAGUGGCUUGUGCCUGUAACCCCAGAACUUUGAGAGGCUGAGCGGGGUGGAUCACCCAAAGUCAGGAGUUCAAGACCAGCCUGGCCAACAUGGUGAAAUGCCGUCUCUACUAAAAAUACAAAAAUUCGCUGGGUGUGGUGGUGGGUGCUUGUAAUCCUAGCUACUCAGGAGGCUGAGACAGGAGAAUCCCUUGAACCCAGAGGCAGAGGUUACAGUGAGCCGAGAUCGUGCCACUGCCCUCCAGCCUGGGCAACAAAGAGUGAAACUCUUGUCUAAAAAAAAAAAGAAGAAGAAGAAGGAGAAGGAGAAGGAGCGGGAGAAGGAGAAGAAGAAGAAGAAGAAGAAGCCUCAGUGAAGUGCUCCAGCAUCUUCACCCCCUUGGUCACUUGCUCAUCUCCUUGAUGAACAAAAGCGGCCCCAGAUCAGAGCCAUCGAGCACCUGCAGCCAGCAAGGUUGGCUGGUUUUCAUUGUGUGCAUUUUUAAGGCGUCUUCUAUUUAUAGAAAGGAUUGUGGUCUUGCAUUUGUAGCAGCGAUGAAAGCUUUACUUUUUGGCAAAAUGUGUGCAAGUUGUUUAGAAG
RNAcentral lists this long non-coding RNA (662 nucleotides) under Homo sapiens (human). Its description in RNAcentral is "non-protein coding lnc-GRIP2-1:16". Lineage: Eukaryota; Metazoa; Chordata; Mammalia; Primates; Hominidae. The record is from RNAcentral.